Molecule: ribosomal RNA, 332 nt
Filed under: uncultured bacterium
Lineage: Bacteria
Description: bacterial SSU rRNA
Rfam family: Bacterial small subunit ribosomal RNA
Source: RNAcentral
UGCGUAGGCGGUUCGGUAAGUCUUAUGUGAAAUCUUCAGGCUCAACUUGAAGUCUGCAUGAGAAACUGCCGGGCUUGAGUGUGGGAGAGGUGAGUGGAAUUUCCGGUGUAGCGGUGAAAUGCGUAGAUAUCGGAAGGAACACCUGUGGCGAAAGCGGCUCACUGGACCAUAAUUGACGCUGAUGCACGAAAGCUAGGGGAGCAAACAGGAUUAGAUACCCUGGUAGUCCUAGCCCUAAACGAUGAUCGCUUGGUGUGACGGGUACCCAAUCCCGCCGUGCCGAAGCUAACGCGUUAAGCGAUCCGCCUGGGGAGUACGGUCGCAAGGCUGAA